GCACUGCUGGUGUAGUGGUAUCAUGCAAGAUUCCCAUUCUUGCGACCCGGAUUCGAUUCCCGGGCAGUGCA
Molecule: non-coding RNA, 71 nt
Organism: Ciona savignyi (Pacific transparent sea squirt)
Lineage: Eukaryota; Metazoa; Chordata; Ascidiacea; Phlebobranchia; Cionidae
Source: Rfam